GCGGGAAUAGCUCAGUGGUAGAGCACAACCUUGCCUGGGGUCGCGAGUUCGAACCUCGUUUCCCGCUCCA
RNAcentral lists this transfer RNA (70 nucleotides) under Methylococcaceae bacterium CS1. RNAcentral describes it as "tRNA-OTHER". It matches the Rfam family "tRNA". From Rfam's summary of the family: Transfer RNA (tRNA) molecules are approximately 80 nucleotides in length. Their secondary structure includes four short double-helical elements and three loops (D, anti-codon, and T loops). The record is from RNAcentral. Lineage: Bacteria; Pseudomonadati; Pseudomonadota; Gammaproteobacteria; Methylococcales; Methylococcaceae.